GAUGAACGCUGGCGGCGUGCCUAACACAUGCAAGUCGAGCGAACCCUUCGGGGUGAGCGGCGGAUGGGUGAGUAACGCGUGGGUAACCUGCCCUGUACACACGGAUAACAUACCGAAAGGUAUGCUAAUACGGGAUAACAUAUGAGAGUCGCAUGGCUUUUGUAUCAAAGCUCCGGCGGUACAGGAUGGACCCGCGUCUGAUUAGCUAGUUGGUAAGGUAACGGCUUACCAAGGCAACGAUCAGUAGCCGACCUGAGAGGGUGAUCGGCCACAUUGGAACUGAGACACGGUCCAAACUCCUACGGGAGGCAGCAGUGGGGAAUAUUGCACAAUGGGCGAAAGCCUGAUGCAGCAACGCCGCGUGAGCGAUGAAGGCCUUCGGGUCGUAAAGCUCUGUCCUCAAGGAAGAUAAUGACGGUACUUGAGGAGGAAGCCCCGGCUAACUACGUGCCAGCAGCCGCGGUAAUACGUAGGGGGCUAGCGUUAUCCGGAAUUACUGGGCGUAAAGGGUGCGUAGGCGGUCUUUCAAGCCAGAAGUGAAAGGCUACGGCUCAACCGUAGUAAGCUUUUGGAACUGUAGGACUUGAGUGCAGGAGAGGAGAGUGGAAUUCCUAGUGUAGCGGUGAAAUGCGUAGAUAUUAGGAGGAACACCAGUAGCGAAGGCGGCUCUCUGGACUGUAACUGACGCUGAGGCACGAAAGCGUGGGGAGCAAACAGGAUUAGAUACCCUGGUAGUCCACGCCGUAAACGAUGAGUACUAGGUGUCGGGGGUUACCCCCCUCGGUGCCGCAGCUAACGCAUUAAGUACUCCGCCUGGGAAGUACGCUCGCAAGAGUGAAACUCAAAGGAAUUGACGGGGACCCCCACAAGUAGCGGAGCAUGUGGUUUAAUUCGAAGCAACGCGAAGAACCUUACCUAAGCUUGACAUCCCACUGAUCUCUCCCUAAUCGGAGAUUUCCCUUCGGGGACAGUGGUGACAGGUGGUGCAUGGUUGUCGUCAGCUCGUGUCGUGAGAUGUUGGGUUAAGUCCCGCAACGAGCGCAACCCUUGCCUUUAGUUGCCAGCAUUAAGUUGGGCACUCUAGAGGGACUGCCGAGGAUAACUCGGAGGAAGGUGGGGAUGACGUCAAAUCAUCAUGCCCCUUAUGCUUAGGGCUACACACGUGCUACAAUGGGUGGUACAGAGGGUUGCCAAGCCGUGAGGUGGAGCUAAUCCCUUAAAGCCAUUCUCAGUUCGGAUUGUAGGCUGAAACUCGCCUACAUGAAGCUGGAGUUACUAGUAAUCGCAGAUCAGAAUGCUGCGGUGAAUGCGUUCCCGGGUCU
RNAcentral lists this ribosomal RNA (1322 nucleotides) under uncultured bacterium. Its description in RNAcentral is "partial 16S ribosomal RNA". It matches the Rfam family "Bacterial small subunit ribosomal RNA", at positions 28 to 1381 of the family's 1533-position model. The record is from RNAcentral.